This 495-nucleotide ribosomal RNA is filed under the name uncultured bacterium. RNAcentral describes it as "partial 16S ribosomal RNA". It matches the Rfam family "Bacterial small subunit ribosomal RNA", at positions 30 to 507 of the family's 1533-position model. The record is from RNAcentral.
UGAACGCUGGCGGCGUGCCUAAUACAUGCAAGUCGAGCGAACAGACGAGGAGCUUGCUCCUCUGACGUUAGCGGCGGACGGGUGAGUAACACGUGGAUAACCUACCUAUAAGACUGGGAUAACUUCGGGAAACCGGAGCUAAUACCGGAUAAUAUAUUGAACCGCAUGGUUCAAUAGUGAAAGACGGUUUUGCUGUCACUUAUAGAUGGAUCCGCGCCGCAUUAGCUAGUUGGUAAGGUAACGGCUUACCAAGGCGGCGAUGCGUAGCCGACCUGAGAGGGUGAUCGGCCACACUGGAACUGAGACACGGUCCAGACUCCUACGGGAGGCAGCAGUAGGGAAUCUUCCGCAAUGGGCGAAAGCCUGACGGAGCAACGCCGCGUGAGUGAUGAAGGUCUUCGGAUCGUAAAACUCUGUUAUUAGGGAAGAACAAAUGUGUAAGUAACUAUGCACGUCUUGACGGUACCUAAUCAGAAAGCCACGGCUAACUACGUG